RNAcentral lists this ribosomal RNA (1374 nucleotides) under metagenome. Its description in RNAcentral is "bacterial LSU rRNA". It matches the Rfam family "Bacterial large subunit ribosomal RNA", at positions 1577 to 2925 of the family's 2925-position model. The record is from RNAcentral.
CCUUUGAGCCGAAGUGAAUAACGCCCCGCUUCCAGGAAAAGCCUCUAAGCUUCAGAUCACAUUGGACCGUACCGUAAACCGACACUGGUGGGUGAGCAGACAAUCUGCCAAGGCGCUUGAGAGAACUCGGGUUAAGGAACUCCGCAAAUUGAUACCGUAACUUCGGAAGAAGGUAUGCCUUCGAUGGUGUAGGGAUUUACUCCCGAAGCUGUUGAAGGUCGCAGGUAAUCGGUGGCUGCGACUGUUUAUCAAAAACACAGGACUCUGCGAACACGCAAGUGGAAGUAUAGGGUCUGACGCCUGCCCGGUGCCGGAAGGUUAAUUGAUGGGGUUAGCCGCAAGGCGAAGCUCUUGAUCGAAGCCCCGGUAAACGGCGGCCGUAACGAUAACGGUCCUAAGGUAGCGAAAUUCCUUGUCGGGUAAGUUCCGACCUGCACGAAUGGCGUAACGCUGGCCACACUGUCUCGACCCGAGACUCAGUGAAGUUGAAAUCGCUGUGAAGAUGCGGCGUUCCCGCGGCAAGACGGAAAGACCCCGUGAACCUUCACUACAGCUUUACACUGAACUUUGAACCUUUCUGUGUAGGAUAGGUGGGAGGCUAUGAAACUUGGGCGCUAGCUCGAGUGGAGCCAACCUUGAAAUACCACCCUGGGAUGUUUGAAGUUCUAACCUUGGUCCGUAAUCCGGAUUGGGGACAGUGUAUGGUGGGUAGUUUGACUGGGGCGGUCUCCUCCCAAAGAGUAACGGAGGAGUGCAAUGGUACGCUCAGCGCGGUCGGUCAUCGCGCUCUAGAGUGCAAAGGCAUAAGCGUGCUUAACUGUGAGACAGACACGUCGAACAGGUACGAAAGUAGGUCUUAGUGAUCCGGUGGUUCUGUAUGGAAGGGCCAUCGCUCAACGGAUAAAAGGUACUCCGGGGAUAACAGGCUUAUUCCUCCCAAGAGUCCACAUCGACGGAGGAGUUUGGCACCUCGAUGUCGGCUCAUCACAUCCUGGGGCUGUAGCAGGUCCCAAGGGUAUGGCUGUUCGCCAUUUAAAGUGGUACGCGAGCUGGGUUCAGAACGUCGUGAGACAGUUCGGUCCCUAUCUGCCGUGGGCGUUGGAAACUUGAGGGUGAGCUGUCCUUAGUACGAGAGGACCGGGAUGGACGUAUCUCUGGUGUUCCGGUUGUCACGCCAGUGGCACUGCCGGGUAGCUAUAUACGGACGGGAUAAGCGCUGAAAGCAUCUAAGCGCGAAGCCCCCCCCAAGAUUAGGUUUCCCUGGGAACUCGAUUCCCCUAAAGGGCCGUCGGAGACUACGACGUUGAUAGGCUGGGUGUGUAAGUGCAGCAAUGCAUUGAGCUAACCAGUACUAAUUGCCCGUGAGGCUUGAUC